This 570-nucleotide long non-coding RNA is filed under the name Gallus gallus (chicken). RNAcentral describes it as "long non-coding RNA NONGGAT008625". The record is from RNAcentral. Lineage: Eukaryota; Metazoa; Chordata; Aves; Galliformes; Phasianidae.
GGAAUGGCAAAGCUAAAGUAUACCUGACCAAAUGAAAUACCUGAUGCAAGUGGGGUAUAUUACCAGAGUGAAGAAAAAGAAGAGGGCUGGCAUUUUAAUGAAUGUUUGUUAAACGGGAAGUACCUGGGGGAGAGCUGGAGAGACGUCUGUAGCUGCAAGCUUUCUGCAGGGAAUGAUCUUCCUUGGAAAUUACUUUGAAAGAAGCUGGCAAGGAUCCUGCUCUGCAAAGCAAGAGGAGGAGUCCGGCCCUGGCCAGCAUUGCACUACUCAAAACACUGGAGCUGCUCCUGCCAUCCCCUGCCUGCUGCUCCUCGGGGAACCACGGCUCUGGGAGAGGCUCCUUUGGCACGGUGAGUAUCUGCUAUGAAAGCAGACGGUCUAACUAGCUUGUGGGGUGGCACUGGAGAAUGAUCACCUCUCUGUGUUUGUGUAUGUGUGCAGUCAGUGACACAAACACACGUGAAACGAGAACUCGCUUGCUUUUUCCAACACUGAGGUGAGAAGCAAAAGCUGUUUCCUGGCCCAGCUGGAGUGAGAAAAAGGAGAGCAGCAAUGGGGAGGGCUCCUGGG